GCGUGAAAGCAAGCAAGACAAACGCACCCAAAAUGUCACUAAUAAGACUGAAGUCACCAUCUUUGGGCCAAUUUCACUAACCACAAUCAGGUCUGUGUUCCAAAAAUCACUAGCUCAUAUUACGUAUACAUCACCAGAUGUUCAGUACUGGCAGUGAAUUUUGAAACGCAACUUAGAUCAGUCCACUAACCACCACUAACAUCUAACGUCUAACCGUGAUCAAACCAUGACAGUUGGUGAAAUUUUACGAUUUUGCUCUUAACGUUGAACAUGAUACACAUGAUCGAUGCAUCUUUCAUCCUUGUUAUUUGUCAAAUGUUAAACGAGGAUGAACAAUGCAUUAUGCGUGAAAUAAAACAUAUCCUUCGUCAGGCCACAAGGAGUCGUCCGUUGGCGACGAAAGAAGAACCGUGUCAAGUUACGGUACCGCGAUCUUCCUACAUUGAAAAUGGGUAAAUCUAUAUAUCAACAAAAAUUUCGAUCAGAAUGGAAAUCAAAUUCCAAUUUAAAAGAUUGGAUUCGUGAAGAUAUGACAGAUAAAACCAAAGCUUAUUGCAAAUAUUGCAAGUGCAAUAUACAGUGCAAGUUAAGCGAUUUGAUAUCGCAUGCUAAUACAAAAAAAACAGCAGCAAUCAGAUCGCAUGUAAUGGAAUCCAAAAUUUCAUUUAAAUCUACAUCUACCAAGACACAAGAACAGGAAGCUGCUUUAGCUUUAUAUAUUAGUCAACAUAGUGCAAUAGCACCUAUUGAUCAUUUAAGUUCUUUGUGUAAAAAUAAAUUUGACGAUAGUCAAAUAAAAUUACACCCCAGUGAGAAACGAUAAUGAAUUCGACAUCAAUUUGACGUCGAAUCGACAUCGAAAUGAUGAUUUCGACGUCGAAUCGAUGUCGAUUCGAUGUACUAUUUCUCACUGGGACAGAACUAAAUGUACUAACAUAAUAAAAAACGUAUUGGCAUUCAUUUUGUCGAAGAUUUACGGAUUGACAUUGAAAAUUUAAAAAUUUAGUUUAUUGCUCGACAAAUCAACAGAUAUUAGCGUCACGAAACUUUUUGGCAUUGUUAUCAUAUAUUUCAGUAAAAAACAACAAAAAAUAAUAUCAACGUUCCUUUCAUUGGCAGAACUUAAAAGUGUAGAUGUGAGGACAUUGUAAAUUGCCUGAAAAAUAAACUUAAAAAAAUUUAAAUUAAAUAUUAAAAAUCUGAUUGGUAUAGGAACGGAUAAUGCCAGUGUCAUGGUUGGUUGCAACAAAAGCGUAUAUACUGAACUGAAAAAAGAAAUACCUUAUCUUAUACUUAUUCGAUGUGUCUGUCAUUCUGUGCAAUUGGCGAUAAAUUAUGUUUGUAAAGAAUGCUUUCCUAGAAGCCUAGAAUUUUUGGUUCAUGAAACAUACAAUUGAUUUAGCAAGAGUUCUAAUCGCCAAUCUGUGUAUAAAUAACUGUAUGAAGUAAUCAAUAACGGCAUGGAACCAUUAAAAAUAGUUAGAGUUUGUGAUACGCGUUGGUUGUCCAUUGAAAUUGCAGUUUCCCGUAUAUUAGAGCAAUGGCUGGAGUUGAAAACACAUUUCAAUAUAGUUAGAAAGCUAUUUCUUAAACCGAUUUUAUCAAAACUGCAAUCAUUAAACAAGAGCUUUCAAAGCAAUACUAGUAAUCCAACUAAGUUAUUAAAAGAUUUAGUAAUCAUUAUAAAUUCUUUAAAAAACAAAGUUAUUAAUUCAGCACAUAAAUUUGACGUUAUAACGUGUUGCGUAUAGAAAUCGUGCAUAUAAAAUUAAUAAUAUCAAAGCAUAAUAGAUGCAUUUGGCAUCGUGUUCGGACUCGAGAUCGUAGCGUGACGUCGGCAUGCAUACAUGACCAUAUUUGGAGUUGUUUAAAGGCCGUCGUCAACAAUCAUUCUUUUGUCUAUAAAUAACGCAAUGAGAAUUAUAAAAAAAAGGGAAUUGAAAAUCGGAAAAUAGCAUGUCUUUUGGGCAAAGGAUCUUCAUUUUUGGUUCGGCCCCCGAGUAAUAAACACGGAUUCUCUCUCUCUCCCGGUCACGCAGUUAUCGCUACGAUCUCGAAGUCGCGACGCACUACCAUUAGUGAUUGUGAGAUCUACGGAUCUUUAACGAAUUAUUAGCACGGUCGUUACGCAUCAUAUCGAUAUUUGCAGCGACUCAGUUCGCGUGUGCUCCUAGACGUUGUCGCCGCCUAAUCACAAUCACAAUCCGGCGACUCAGGGCAUACGUGUUCCUAGGCGUUGUCGCUGUGAAAUAGUGCGUGCGCGAUCGAAAGCUUCUAUAAUAUAAAAUAAAACUGUCAAAUAAAAACGAUCGAUAUCGCAGAGUGUUUCAAUAAACUCAUCAUAAAGUGACUGCAAUAUAA
Molecule: long non-coding RNA, 2361 nt
Organism: Monomorium pharaonis (pharaoh ant)
Lineage: Eukaryota; Metazoa; Arthropoda; Insecta; Hymenoptera; Formicidae
Exons: 3
Source: RefSeq, a predicted model, not a curated record